This 141-nucleotide transfer RNA is filed under the name Candidatus Woesearchaeota archaeon. Its description in RNAcentral is "tRNA-OTHER". It matches the Rfam family "tRNA". Rfam says of the family: Transfer RNA (tRNA) molecules are approximately 80 nucleotides in length. Lineage: Archaea; Nanobdellati; Candidatus Woesearchaeota. The record is from RNAcentral.
GGCACUGUAGCUCAGCCUGGUUAGAGCGCUAGAAAAUAUAUUUUAGCGACACUCAUAUAUUUGAGUUAUGAAGCUUUAUGCUGAUGAUAUACCUCAAACCGGGUUAUCUAGAGGUCGCGGGUUCAGAUCCCGCCAGUGCCA